GGGGAAUAUUGCACAAUGGGGGAAACCCUGAUGCAGCGACGCCGCGUGGAGGAAGAAGGUCUUCGGAUUGUAAACUCCUGUUGUUGAGGAAGAUAAUGACGGUACUCAACAAGGAAGUGACGGCUAACUACGUGCCAGCAGCCGCGGUAAAACGUAGGUCACAAGCGUUGUCCGGAAUUACUGGGUGUAAAGGGAGCGCAGGCGGGAAGACAAGUUGGAAGUGAAAUCCAUGGGCUCAACCCAUGAACUGCUUUCAAAACUGUUUUUCUUGAGUAGUGCAGAGGUAGGCGGAAUUCCCGGUGUAGCGGUGGAAUGCGUAGAUAUCGGGAGGAACACCAGUGGCGAAGGCGGCCUACUGGGCACCAACUGACGCUGAGGCUCGAAAGUGUGGGUAGCAAACAGGAUUAGAUACCCUGGUAGUCCCACACCGUAAACGAUGAUUACUAGGUGUUGGAGGAU
Molecule: ribosomal RNA, 459 nt
Filed under: uncultured bacterium
Lineage: Bacteria
Description: bacterial SSU rRNA
Rfam family: Bacterial small subunit ribosomal RNA
Source: RNAcentral